Molecule: ribosomal RNA, 378 nt
Filed under: uncultured bacterium
Lineage: Bacteria
Description: bacterial SSU rRNA
Rfam family: Bacterial small subunit ribosomal RNA
Source: RNAcentral
GAUUAACGCUGGCGGCGUGCCUAACACAUGCAAGUCGAACGAGGUAGCAAUACCUAGUGGCAGACGGGUGAGUAACGCGUGGUCAACCUACCGUUGAGUGGGGGAUAACUAGCCGAAAGGUUAGCUAAUACCGCAUACGUCUCCGAGGGGCAUCCCUUGGCGAUAAAAGGAGCAAUCCGCUCGAUGACGGGACCGCGUCCCAUUAGCUAGAUGGUGGGGUAACGGCCUACCAUGGCACCGAUGGGUAGCUGGUUUGAGAGAGCGACCAGCCACACUGGGACUGAGAAACGGCCCAGACUCCUACGGGAGGCAGCAGUGAGGAAUUUUCCGCAAUGGGCGCAAGCCUGACGGAGCGACGCCGCGUGUGGGAAGAAGGCC